This is a long non-coding RNA of Aethalodelphis obliquidens (Pacific white-sided dolphin), 1264 nucleotides long. RefSeq lists it as uncharacterized. The transcript is spliced from 2 exons. Lineage: Eukaryota; Metazoa; Chordata; Mammalia; Artiodactyla; Delphinidae. The record is from RefSeq and is a predicted model, not a curated record.
CUUCAGCUCCGUCUCCCUUUUCCCCAACCUGAGCUGGAUCCCAAUCUUGGAUUCUCCACCCCUGUCUCCUGGCCUCCACAAAUCAUUCAGCCUGGCACCUUUUUCUCGGUAUGAACUCGUGAAUGGGGAAGAUGGUGGCUUUGGGAUCCGCCUGGCGGCAGUUGUGCAACCUUCCAAGAGGAAGGCGACCGCCUGCGCCAUCUUUGCACAGCUGCCGGCAUACAGGCCCCUGAUUCUCGAAGGAGGGUCCGCAGCGCCUCAAAGGGGUUUAAGACGUUCACCAGUGUGUUAUUUUUGAAUAAAGCGUGAGAGCUUUGGAAGCCCAGCAGGGGCAGUGCCCCUUCACAGAGAUUCAGGGAUAGUCUGGUGGAUGAAGGCCUAAAGUUUGGAAUUUUCCUCUUGGAGAAGUGCUGUUGGGAUAGCUGCGAUGCCCAGGUAAUGGUACCUGCCACUUCAUCAACAAGCUGUGACAAGAAGUGGAGAGUGACAAGAAGUGGAGAGUAGCAUGCCUUCUACCUGGGUACUGUGAAUUUUGCUGACACAAAGGAUGUUCUCUACCUGGUGUUGGACAGAUCCUUGGAACUUCACGUCUUUCCUGUAUUAACCCGCGUGAGCAGCUGUCAAUCUCCUGGGGUGGAGGGAGGGGACUGCCUAGAAAUUUGGGGACCAAAAUCAAUUAGGUGGCCUUUACUUCAUCUUACCCAAAGGAUUCCAAUAAAAUAUUUUAAAGCAAAUAAAAAGUAGAUUGGUCUCAGUGAAAACAAGAUGGUACAGAAAGGUUUAGGGACAUGAAAGGUUAACCACCAGUGAAUGAGCAUCACAGUUGACGUCUAGCUGUACCUCUUUGCAGCCACAUACAAAAAGUAGAUUCGCCACAUAUUGACACCAAUGUUAAGGAUUUCUAAAUUGAUUGUGGUAGUAUUCUUAUAUUUGAGGUUUUUAUUAUGCCAUUAACACAGACAUCCAAUUUGCCUUUUGAUCAAUUGGUGAAAACAUAGGUUGUCCAGAUAUAUUUUAAAAGAAUAUACUGGUGGUUGCCAGGGGCAGGGAAUGAGGAAAUGAAGAGUUACUGUUUAAUGGGUAUAGUUUCCAUUUUAGAAGAUGAAAAGUGUUCACAGGGAUGGAUGGUGGUGACGGUUGCUCAAUGUGAUGAAUGUGUUUGUUACCACUGAACCUUAUGCUUAAAAGUGGUAAAGAUGGGGGAGGGGAUAAAUUGGAAGAUUAGGAUUGACACAUACCUGCUACUACAUAUAAAAAAGGUAAC